This is a non-coding RNA of Caenorhabditis elegans, 136 nucleotides long. The record is from Ensembl. NCBI's taxonomy places the organism in Eukaryota, Metazoa, Nematoda, Chromadorea, Rhabditida, Rhabditidae.
CACAAUUUGAAGAAGUGCACACUUGGGCACCAGAAGUGUCCCAAGAGACUUCUUAUAAGACGAGAAGGGCCGUGUCUUUCCUCCCUUUUUCUUACAUAAAUUGCAUUAUACAAAAUAGACAGCUGAGAACUGGUGU